This 901-nucleotide ribosomal RNA is filed under the name uncultured bacterium. Its description in RNAcentral is "bacterial SSU rRNA". It matches the Rfam family "Bacterial small subunit ribosomal RNA", at positions 24 to 915 of the family's 1533-position model. The record is from RNAcentral.
UCAGGAUGAACGCUAGCUACAGGCUUAACACAUGCAAGUCGAGGGGAAACGACAUCGAAAGCUUGCUUUUGAUGGGCGUCGACCGGCGCACGGGUGAGUAACGCGUAUCCAACCUGCCCACCACUUGGGGAUAACCUUGCGAAAGUAAGACUAAUACCCAAUGACGUCUCUAGAGGACAUCUGAAAGAGAUUAAAGAUUUAUCGGUGAUGGAUGGGGAUGCGUCUGAUUAGCUUGUUGGCGGGGUAACGGCCCACCAAGGCUACGAUCAGUAGGGGUUCUGAGAGGAAGGUCCCCCACAUUGGAACUGAGACACGGUCCAAACUCCUACGGGAGGCAGCAGUGAGGAAUAUUGGUCAAUGGACGAGAGUCUGAACCAGCCAAGUAGCGUGCAGGAUGACGGCCCUAUGGGUUGUAAACUGCUUUUAUAAGGGAAUAAAGUGAGUCUCGUGAGACUUUUUGCAUGUACCUUAUGAAUAAGGACCGGCUAAUUCCGUGCCAGCAGCCGCGGUAAUACGGAAGGUCCGGGCGUUAUCCGGAUUUAUUGGGUUUAAAGGGAGCGUAGGCCGGAGAUUAAGCGUGUUGUGAAAUGUAGAUGCUCAACAUCUGCACUGCAGCGCGAACUGGUUUCCUUGAGUACGCACAAAGUGGGCGGAAUUCGUGGUGUAGCGGUGAAAUGCUUAGAUAUCACGAAGAACUCCGAUUGCGAAGGCAGCUCACUGGAGCGCAACUGACGCUGAAGCUCGAAAGUGCGGGUAUCGAACAGGAUUAGAUACCCUGGUAGUCCGCACGGUAAACGAUGGAUGCCCGCUGUUGGUCUGAAUAGGUCAGCGGCCAAGCGAAAGCAUUAAGCAUCCCACCUGGGGAGUACGCCGGCAACGGUGAAACUCAAAGGAAUUGACG